This 384-nucleotide ribosomal RNA is filed under the name Bradyrhizobium sp. 05LoS23R8_16. RNAcentral's name for it is "bacterial LSU rRNA". It matches the Rfam family "Bacterial large subunit ribosomal RNA", at positions 1 to 270 of the family's 2925-position model. The record is from RNAcentral. Lineage: Bacteria; Pseudomonadati; Pseudomonadota; Alphaproteobacteria; Hyphomicrobiales; Nitrobacteraceae.
AAUCAAGUGCCUUAAGGGUGUUCGGUGGAUGCCUUGGCGCUGAGAGGCGAUGAAGGACGUGCUACGCUGCGAUAAGCCGUGGGGAGCUGCGAAGAAGCUUUGAUCCAUGGAUUUCCGAAUGGGGAAACCCACCUUCGAUAGCCGGAACUCCAAGACCUUUGUCGAAAGACAUCGGUGUGGGGUUCGAUCAGAAAUGAGAGAUGCCUGGACCUUUAGAUUUCGAUCGAAGAGGUUUUGGAUUUCCGGUUAUCAAGAGAAGGUAUGAGACUUCUGAAUACAUAGGAGGUUUCAAGCAAACCCAGGGAACUGAAACAUCUAAGUACCUGGAGGAAAGGACAUCAACAGAGACUCCGUUAGUAGUGGCGAGCGAACGCGGACCAGGCC